Molecule: long non-coding RNA, 824 nt
Organism: Pelmatolapia mariae (spotted tilapia)
Lineage: Eukaryota; Metazoa; Chordata; Actinopteri; Cichliformes; Cichlidae
Exons: 3
Source: RefSeq, a predicted model, not a curated record
UGGCCAUCGGCGCACGAUGGUGAUUUUUCGUUUUUAUCGGCCGAUGGGUUUUUUUGUUUUUUGUUUUUUUUUUGUAACGGCAUAAACAAUGAAAGGUGGUGGAUUGGCCAGAUGCUGGCCGAUGUGUAAAAAUAACUCAGUUGUUUGGUGGUGGCGGUGGUGGAGCUUCCACAGAGGCCAGCAGGUGGAUGAGGGAAAGGGGAGGCAGGAGGAGGAGAGACCCGAGGCGGCCGCCGGUCCGAGCGUCAGGUGAACUGAACUUCAGAGUCAACUGAUUCUGCAGCAGAGCAUCCCCUGUUGCUUCUCCUGGCUCCCCAGUCCCUGGUCCCUCCGCUCCUGCUGCUGCACCCACAGGCCCACAGAAGAGGACAGCUCCGAGGCGGACGAGGGACGGGUCCCAGGACGGUCCAUCGGCGGUGGAGCUGGCCAUCCUGGAGUCCCUGAAGAGGCCACGCCAGUCUCCAACGGAGCAUUUCCUCCUCAGCCUUGUUCCUGCACUGGAGAGCAUGCCGCCUCAGACGAGAGUAUUAGUGAAAUUUCAAAUUUAUAAAUAAAUAAAUAAAGUUUUUGAAAACAGCACAGCUGUGUUAAAUUUGGAAACAUUGGACCCGAGCAAUCAGUAGUUUUCUGAUGAGGCAGCAGCUCUCCAGGGCAGAAACAAUGUUCUUAGUUUUCUCCUCCUUCUCCCUGAGGCUCUUCCACUUUAAGCUGGGUCCUUUUUAUUCCUGUCUCUCUGUAAACAGUUAUAUUUUAUAUAUUUAUGUUUAAUGUUUUUCUGUUUGAGAAUUUUAAUAUUAUUUGAAAUAAACUUUUGUAAUGACUAA